UUUUUGGUUAGGGUCAGUUCCUUGACUAAUUUGUUUGUGUUUGCAAAAAGUUUCUAUAAAUCCGAUUGCAGAGACAACCAUCUUGUCUCUGCCGAUUGGAUUAAUAUUUAUAUUAUUAAAAAAUAACACCCUGGAUAUAACACAUCUAUAAAUAUUAUCGCUUAAAAAUGUCUAAAGAAGAAAAGCUUGAUUGGAUUUACAAAGGGGCCAAUAGCUUGGUGGAUAGGGAAGAGUACCUUCUAGGUAGGAAAGUUGAUAAAACCCUCGACCAAUUGAACAAUGAAGAAAAGGAGACCAAAUUCGUUUUACCCACACCAAAAAAUCAUGUAGAACAUGAAUGCAUACCACCAUCCAUAAGAGAUUUUAAUAAAAUUGUACAGGCAGAACAAGUUGAUUUACAAACAAAACUUCAAGAGGAUCCCCUAAUAGCCAUAAAAAAGAGAGAAGAAGAAGCACGUAGGCAAUUCCUACAAAACCCUGUUCAGUUAAAGAAACUACAAGAAGCUUUGAUGAAAAAACAAAACCAGAAGAAGAAGACAAAGAAAAAAUCUAAAAAAAAAGACUUAGAUCUUGAUGAAAAAAUAAAGCAAAAAUUAAAGAUGUUAAAAUCUAAAACUACAGGACCAACAGAGCCAAGAAAAGAUUCUAAAAAGGAAAAAGACGAAACUCUUACGACAAUUUUAAUGCACAAGUUUAAUGCUUUAAAAAGUAAGCUUUCCGAAGACGAUUUACAAGAUAUUCUAAAUGGUAAAACAAGUGAUAGCAGUGACAGUGAAAAUGAAGAUAAAUCAAAGAAAAAAAGUCACAGAAAAUCUCAGUCUAGUGAUAGUGAAGAAGAAGUGAUUCGUAAUAAAGAAAAGGAAAAAUAUAAGAAAAGAAAUAAGAGAAGAGAUUCAAGUCACCAUGAUAAAAGAGAAAGAAGUAGUAGUAGAGAGACAUAUAAUUUGGGAAAAAACAAAAGGACAAGGAGAAGCAGGAGUCCAAGAACAACUGAGAAAUACAGGAGUGAAAAAUCAUACCAAGGAAACCAAAAAUCUUCAGGUCAGAGAAGAUACAGGAGUAGAAGCAAAUCUAAAGAAAGUGAACUACGAAAGAAAAAGCAAAGAAGCAGGAGUAGAGACCAGGAGAAAAAGAGCAGAAGUAGAGACCGAGAAAGAAGUAAAAAUACAGCUGUUAAAAGAAGAAAUGAAAGUACUGAUAGCUCAGAUGAUGAAAAGUCUUACCACCAUCAAAAAAGCACACCAAAAGGUAGUGAUAGUGAUAGUGAACUUGAUAAAAAAAUUAUGGCACAACUUAAAAUACUUAGAGGAGAAGCUGAAAACCAGCUUAAAACUAAAAAACCUUUGUAUCCUGAAAAGCCUUCGAAUUUAUAUAAAAACUCUAAAAGCAGCUCAAGUUCAUCAGAAGAUUCAGAGUCGGAUACAAAGCAACAUUCAAGAAAAUCCUCUAGUCCUGCAAAAGCUAAAUACAAAUACAGUGACCAUGAAGAGGAAAUUCCCAAACAGAAAUCCUUUGGACUAGUAUCAGCAGACGGUAAAAAGAUUGCUUUUAAAAAUACUUCUCAGAAAAGUAAAAAUUCUAAACCAACAAAAAAAAUUGAAGAAACCUCCUCAAAACCUGUCUUUAAAAAUGUUAAAAAAAUGUCAGAAGAAGAAAAGGAGAGGCUCAGAAAAGAAAUGAUGAAAAACGCUAAGUCCAGGGACAAGGAGCGAGAAGAAAACAUUAGACUUUAUAGGGAAAAAAAUAAAAAAGAAGAAGAAACAGUGUCGAAGAGCUUCGAUGCGGAUUUGGUGCAUAAUGAGCUCAUGAAAAGUGCAAACCAUUCAUCUGUAGAGCAGAGGAUUAAGAGCAAAUUGAACAGCAUCCAGAGAUCUUCCAGACAUAUGGAAAGUAAUUUUUCAAAAAGGUGAUAAUGGUAGAAAUGUUUCAGUUUGUGGGUUGAAAUUUGGAGUUCCUGAUAUCAAAAAUGAGAAGUUUCAUUCACUUAAUCACAUGGUGGAUUCCAGUUAACAUCUUAAAAUGAAAAUUAUGUAAGAUCUAAAUCAGGAAUAUGCUACUCCCCGAAAGCCACAUCUACCUUCCUAUCUUCGACAGCAGAAUUCCGUGAUACCCACAAACAAAUGCUUUGGACAGAUCACAGAAUAUGCGGCCGAUGCAUUCAUUCAAACUAAGAUAAGAAACACACUCAACAAAACUUUAAUUGGCAUCCUGAUUACUCUUAGAUGUUUGUCUUUCAGUUAUAAUUCGAAAAAAUUGAAGAUAAUUGCACUAAUCGCAGACCUUUUCUUGACCAGUCUUUUCAUGCCAUGACCUUUGAUAAGAUUGGUAGUAAAGAGAUUGGGCAGUAAUUAGAAAGAUUGUUAACUUCAACAUCCUUCAAUAUGGUAACUACCAAAGAAGACUUCAAGUAAGUAAGAAACACACCUUCCAACCAAUAAGCCUCAUAAGGUACCUGCAAGAGCACUUUAGGAGAAAUCUCAUCCUCGUCGCUAGAUUUUUUGUUUUUUUUUUAAAUUGUUUUCCUAAUUUUUGCCGGUUUGUAUCAUCAAAAACAAAUAUACCAGUGUUACAAACAUUUUUAAGAUGAGAUAAAGGGUCUGAAGUAGA
RNAcentral lists this unclassified non-coding RNA (2607 nucleotides) under Anthonomus grandis grandis. Its description in RNAcentral is "pre-mRNA-splicing factor CWC25 homolog". Lineage: Eukaryota; Metazoa; Arthropoda; Insecta; Coleoptera; Curculionidae. The record is from RNAcentral.